RNAcentral lists this small RNA (27 nucleotides) under Bombyx mori (domestic silkworm). RNAcentral describes it as "ovarian small RNA-38481". Lineage: Eukaryota; Metazoa; Arthropoda; Insecta; Lepidoptera; Bombycidae. The record is from RNAcentral.
UUUUGUGGUGACAACCUUGGUUAGGUU